This 462-nucleotide ribosomal RNA is filed under the name uncultured bacterium. RNAcentral describes it as "partial 16S ribosomal RNA". It matches the Rfam family "Bacterial small subunit ribosomal RNA", at positions 29 to 523 of the family's 1533-position model. The record is from RNAcentral.
AAUGAACGUUGGCGGCAUGGAUUAGGCAUGCAAGUCGGGGGAAUCCCAGCAAUGGGGGAACCGGCGUAAGGGGCAGUAAGGCAUGGGUACCUACCUUGGGGUUCGGGAUAGCCAUCAGAGAUGGUGGGUAAUACCGGAUGACGUCGUGAGACCAAAGAUUUAUCGCCCUUAGAGGGGCCCAUGUGAUAUUAGCUAGUUGGUGGGGUAACGGCCCACCAAGGCGAAGAUGUCUAGCGGGUGUGAGAGCACGACCCGCGCCACUCGCACUGAGACACUGGCGAGACACCUACGGGUGGCUGCAGUCGAGGACCUUCGGCCAUGAGCGCAAGCUUGACCGAGCGAUGCUGCGUGAGCGAUGAAGGCCUUCGGGUUGUAAAGCUCUUUAGUGGGGGAGAAAAGCCGCAAGGUGUGAUCUAUCCCAAAAAUAAGCACGGGCUAAGUUCGUGCCAGCCGCCGCAGUAA